Molecule: ribosomal RNA, 440 nt
Filed under: uncultured bacterium
Lineage: Bacteria
Description: partial 16S ribosomal RNA
Rfam family: Bacterial small subunit ribosomal RNA
Source: RNAcentral
CCUACGGGUGGCAGCAGUGGGGAAUAUUGCACAAUGGGGGAAACCCUGAUGCAGCGACGCCGCGUGAGUGAAGAAGUAAUUCGGUAUGUAAAGCUCUAUUAGCAGGGAAGAAAAUGACGGUACCUGAGUAAGAAGCCCCGGCUAACUACGUGCCAGCAGCCGCGGUAAUACGUAGGGAGCAAGCGUUAUCCGGAUUUACUGGGUGUAAAGGGAGCGUAGACGGCAGUGCAAGUCUGGAGUGAAAGGCGGGGACUCAACCCCCGGACUGCUCUGGAAACUGUACGGCUGGAGUGCAGGAGAGGUAAGUGGAAUUCCUGGUGUAGCGGUGAAAUGCUUAGAUAUUAUGAGGAACACCAGUGGCGAAGGCGGCUUACUGGACUGUAACUGACGUUGAGGCUCGAAAGCGUGGGGAGCAAACAGGAUUAGAUACCCUGGUAGUC